UGUUACUCAGGGCCAGAUAACUACAUACUUGAAGACAUCUUUAGAGGAUGUACUAAAGGUAAAAAGGGACAUUUUAAGUAAUUAGAGGAAGUAAUGAACCUCAAAUCAGUCUUUCUGUAUGCUACAUAUAUUUUAGUUAAUGCUUCAGUCAGAUGGAAAAUUUGUUUUUUGCUUCUAGAUGUCCUGUGUUGAAGGUUAUUUUUAAAAUUCUAGGUUUUGUUGACUAUCUUCUGAUUGUAGAUGUUUAAUCUUAUCCUUUUCUCUACUUGCUUGCCCUUUUUUCUAACCUAUCUUUUCUUUCCUUUUCUCCUCUCUUCCCUGAUGCCCAUACAUCCCCCAACUAACCAACCUUACAGGUCCAUUCGGAUGAUGAAGUGUUUGAAAGAGGAUUGAAUGCUCUAGUUCAGCUAAGUGUCGUUGUUGGUCCUUGUCUAAACGACCAUCUGAAGCAUCUGCUUACAAGCGGGAGCCUUAGCAUCAUCAAAUCUAAAAUUCCAACAUACUGCUCCAUAUGCUGUUGAAGAAGGGAGCCAACAAAAAUUGUUUUUUCUACCUGUUGACGUGUCAAGCACUGACC
This 577-nucleotide small RNA is filed under the name Pan troglodytes (chimpanzee). Its description in RNAcentral is "retained intron". Lineage: Eukaryota; Metazoa; Chordata; Mammalia; Primates; Hominidae. The record is from RNAcentral.